AGAGUUUGAUCAUGGCUCAGGACGAACGCUGGCGGCGUGCUUAACACAUGCAAGUCGAACGGAAAGGCCCUUCGGGGUACUCGAGUGGCGAACGGAUGAGUAACACGUGGGUGAUCUGCCCUGCACUUUGGGAUAAGCCUGGGAAACUGGGUCUAAUACCGAAUAUGACCACGCUCUUCAUGGGGUGUGGUGGAAAGCUUUUGCGGUGUGGGAUGGGCCCGCGGCCUAUCAGCUUGUUGGUGGGGUAAUGGCCUACCAAGGCGACGACGGGUAGCCGGCCUGAGAGGGUGACCGGCCACACUGGGACUGAGAUACGGCCCAGACUCCUACGGGAGGCAGCAGUGGGGAAUAUUGCACAAUGGGCGCAAGCCUGAUGCAGCGACGCCGCGUGAGGGAUGACGGCCUUCGGGUUGUAAACCUCUUUCAAUAGGGACGAAGCGCAAGUGACGGUACCUAUAGAAGAAGCACCGGCCAACUACGUGCCAGCAGCCGCGGUAAUACGUAGGGUGCGAGCGUUGUCCGGAAUUACUGGGCGUAAAGAGCUCGUAGGUGGUUUGUCGCGUUGUUCGUGAAAACUCACAGCUUAACUGUGGGCGUGCGGGCGAUACGGGCAGACUAGAGUACUGCAGGGGAGACUGGAAUUCCUGGUGUAGCGGUGGAAUGCGCAGAUAUCAGGAGGAACACCGGUGGCGAAGGCGGGUCUCUGGGCAGUAACUGACGCUGAGGAGCGAAAGCGUGGGGAGCGAACAGGAUUAGAUACCCCGGUAGUCCAA
RNAcentral lists this ribosomal RNA (773 nucleotides) under uncultured bacterium. RNAcentral describes it as "bacterial SSU rRNA". It matches the Rfam family "Bacterial small subunit ribosomal RNA", at positions 8 to 798 of the family's 1533-position model. The record is from RNAcentral.